RNAcentral lists this ribosomal RNA (584 nucleotides) under uncultured Russula. RNAcentral describes it as "eukaryotic LSU rRNA". The stretch from base 169 to 322 matches the Rfam family "5.8S ribosomal RNA". Lineage: Eukaryota; Fungi; Basidiomycota; Agaricomycetes; Russulales; Russulaceae. The record is from RNAcentral.
UGCAAGGUCAUUAUCGUACAACCGAGGCGCAAGGGCUGUCGCUGACCCUGGUUGUGCACGCUCAGCGCUCUCACACAUCCAUCUCACCCUUUGUGCAUCACCGCGAGGGUCGCCCUUAGGGAAGACUCGCGUUUUCAUAUAAAAUUUGCGGUCACACGCAAUCAAUACAACUUUCAACAACGGAUCUCUUGGCUCUCGCAUCGAUGAAGAACGCAGCGAAAUGCGAUACGUAAUGUGAAUUGCAGAAUUCAGUGAAUCAUCGAAUCUUUGAACGCACCUUGCGCCCCUUGGCAUUCCGAGGGGCACACCCGUUUGAGUGUCGUGAAAUCAUCAAUUUCUUUGAUCCUAAAUGGAUUGGACUUGGAGGUUCCUGCUCGCGCUUUCAAAAGUGAGCUCCUCUCAAAUGAAUUAGUGGGGUCCGCUUUGCCGAUCCUUGACGUGAUAAGAUGUUUCUACGUUUUGGAUUUAGCACUGUCUUUUGGACGCCUGCUCCUAACCGUCUCAUAUGAUGGUCUCCGGUCACCUACAUUGGCGUGGACCCACACCUGACCUCAAAUCGGGUGAGACUACUCGCUGAACUUAAG